UUGAUGUUUUUGUGUCUCUUUGUUGUUGUUCAGUUUAUUUAAAGAAGAGGCCCGCUGUGGCACAAUGAAGGUGAAGGCCCGCCAGGGCCGAGGUGGGAUCCCGAGGCCUCUCCAGUCUGCUGAGGGCACACCACCAGCCCGUCUCGCCCACCGCACCGGGGAGGUGGAGCAUGAGCACACGUGCUAGGACCCAAAAGAUGGUGAGCUAUGCCUGGGAAGAGCGAAGCCAGAGGAAACUCUUGUGGAAGUCCGUAGCCAUCCUGACGUGCAAAUUGGUCAUCCGAUCUGGGUAUAGGGGCGAAAGACUAAUCGAACCAUCUAGCACAGGG
RNAcentral lists this non-coding RNA (329 nucleotides) under Myotis davidii. RNAcentral describes it as "Eukaryotic large subunit ribosomal RNA". It matches the Rfam family "Eukaryotic large subunit ribosomal RNA", at positions 693 to 954 of the family's 3401-position model. The record is from Rfam by way of RNAcentral. Lineage: Eukaryota; Metazoa; Chordata; Mammalia; Chiroptera; Vespertilionidae.